AAAUAGAUACCCGGGUAGUCCACGCCGUAAACCGAUGAGUGCUAAGUGUUAGAGGGUUUCCGCCCUUUAGUGCUGCAGGCUAAACGCAUUAAGCACUCCGCCUGGGGGAGUACGGUCGCAAGACUGAAACUCAAAGGAAUUGACGGGGGGCCCGCACAAGCGGUGGAGCAUGUGGUUUAAUUCGAAGCAACGCGAAGAACCUUACCAGGUCUUGACAUCCUCUGACAACUCUAAAGAUAGAGCGUUCCCCUUCGGGGGGACAGAGUGACAGGUGGUGCAUGGUUGUCGUCAGCUCGUGUCGUGAGAUGUUGGGUUAAGUCCCGCAACGAGCGCAACCCUUGAUCUUAGUUGCCAGCAUUUAGUUGGGCACUCUAAGGUGACUGCCGGUGACAAACCGGAGGAAGGUGGGGAUGACGUCAAAUCAUCAUGCCCCUUAUGACCUGGGCUACACACGUGCUACAAUGGAUGGUACAAAGGGCUGCAAGACCGCGAGGUCAAGCCAAUCCCAUAAAAAACCCAUUCUCAGUUCGGAUUGUAGGCUG
This 542-nucleotide ribosomal RNA is filed under the name uncultured bacterium. RNAcentral describes it as "bacterial SSU rRNA". It matches the Rfam family "Bacterial small subunit ribosomal RNA", at positions 776 to 1307 of the family's 1533-position model. The record is from RNAcentral.